Molecule: ribosomal RNA, 207 nt
Filed under: uncultured fungus
Lineage: Eukaryota; Fungi
Description: partial small subunit ribosomal RNA
Rfam family: Eukaryotic small subunit ribosomal RNA
Source: RNAcentral
GAAUGUUAUUGGUCAAAGGCCAUCCUCUGGGUGUGUCUCGAUUGAUACUUCCUAUCUUCUGUUGAGUGGGGUUAAACCCAUUUACAGAUCAUUUACUUUGAAAAAAUUAGAGUGUUCAAAGCAGGCGUAACUUGCCUUUGAAUAUUACAGCAUGGGAUAAUAGAAUAUGACGUUGGUCUUAUUUUGUUGGUUUCUAAGGCUGAUGUA